This 2069-nucleotide long non-coding RNA is filed under the name Phoenix dactylifera (date palm). RNAcentral describes it as "long non-coding RNA (PDAC_LNC008521)". The record is from RNAcentral. Lineage: Eukaryota; Viridiplantae; Streptophyta; Magnoliopsida; Arecales; Arecaceae.
UUGGCGAUGGUUUUGUUUUUCCUAGCUUGGGUUUUGUAAUGGAUGGAUUUGGAUGGGUUUUUGUUUCGAUUCAUUUAUUAUAAAGUUUGGGGAUUUCAGUCGAUCUGGAGUUUAGGGACUGUGGUUGUUGAAGCUCCAUUUCCCCAUUUUUAUUCGAGUUUGAUGGGGCUUUGAUAUGGGGUUUGAAUCUUGAUGGGGCUUGCCGCGGAGAAAACUGAAUGGCUUUGAUGUGGGGUAUGAAAUGCUCCGUUAAUGAGAGCUUCUGCACUCAGCAAAUAGUAUGGGUUGGGAUUUAUUUUUUUAAUCUGUUGAGGGCCAAGUUUCCUGUAGGUAUUUGUUGCUGCUGGCAUGCUGCUGCUGCUGUUGUUGAGGGCGUAGCCGGUUGCCUGUGGGCUGUGGGUAGAAAUAAAUGUCAUUUUCUUCUCCACCCUCUGUUUCUCAGCAAACAGAGACUCCCUCUGAUUAAUAAUAAUUUGAAGCUCUGUCCCUCGCCUCUCUUCCUCUCUGAGUAAUAAUGAUUGGAUUUUGGUUUUUAUUCGAGUUUUACUGAAGAUUUUUAUUUUCUUUUUGAUAAUUAUAUCGUCUCACUUGCUUGCUUACAUUAUCAAAUAACUAGAGCUUCUGUUUUGGAUAGUGAAAUUUGUAUUGUAUUUUUCUCUUCUCACCGGUGAUCAUGUUUUAAUUUGGAUAAUCAAUGUUCUUUUUUGUAAUAAUCAGGUUGAUGUUAUCCUGGUUGUGUAGUUCUUUUGUUUGAAACCGUCAAUAAUAUUGCAACAAAAAUGGGACUUGCAUAGGUUGUCCAAGUUAUAGCAUGGCAAAAAUGAGUUGUCUUUAAAUCAGUUUCGAUAGUUUCUAUCUGUUUGACCUACCUACAUACUUCUUAUGUAAUGAAAAUUAAUAUUGAGGGUUCUUUAGUCCGAAAGUAGUACAUCCAGUGGACCUUUGUGAAUUGAUCUCAACUUUUCAUGUCUUAUGUUAAAACUCUCUGACUCUUUAGCUAGUAUUUAAACAGCCUAAUUUUUUGUUUUUCCAAAAAAAUAAAUAGUCUGGUUUCUAAGGAUAUGAAGUACUAACCUCUAUUUCAUAUGAUUAUAAUCUCUAAGAUACAUAAAUGUCAUCAUAAUACCUUUACAAUUUCUCUGGGAUUUCAAUUCAUAGUAAUCAUUAUAUGACUAUUGUAAUCUUGUUUCCUACAUUGUUUUAUUUAGAGGAUUUAAAUCAAUAUGAUUUGGGGUAUUGUUUUAGAUUGAUUGUCAUUUUGUGUGGUUUUAUGUGGUUUUUUUAGCUGUGGCAGUAGAGGAGCAUCCAUAUAAAUAGCAGAAGUUUGAUGCAGAGUUUAAGUGCAACGGGGUUCUCUUAAUGUGGUGAAGAAGACUUGUUGAAAAGGACAAGCCGGGCUGUGAUAUCAUGUUUAUAUUGACGGCUAAUUUGUUUGGGUCAAGUGGUUAGGGAUCACUAGAUUUUGUCGGGCUGUAUGGUAAAUUAUACUGUUUAUAAGAUUUGAGGCUCAUGCUUGUUACUUUCGGAAAAUAAAAUUUUAUCUUAUAGAUUUUGAAAAUAAAUUUAAACGGAUUUGAUAUUUAGAAUUAAAAGUGAACAAGUUGGAGCAUCUAUUGGGGGGGGGGGGUGCAAAGUGGAUCGUAGGGCAGGAGAUUGUUUCAUCUCGGCCGGGCAGACCACAACACCGACCAGUCAAGACCACAGUUCUGCUUAGAAUCAGCUCGAUCGCGGACUCCGCCGGAGGCUCAGUUGACCUCAGUCGGAUUUCUCCGCUGCUACGACCUGCAGCAACCUCUUCUGAUGCUUAUAAUGAUGUUUUGGCCUGAGCUCGGAACGUCCUGCUGUAUUAGCUGCGAGCCAAAGAGUAAGUAUAGAGCAUAUGCGAUGAUGAAUAAAUAUCUAGUAUCUAAUCUUUUGUUUUUCUUUUGGAUUAGAUAGUUGAAUUUUUCUAAUAUAUAUCUAUAUGCCAUGGUCCAUGUUUGGAUGAGAAAUGUGGGGUUUCACUUUCCAUGCUACUUAAAUUCCACACAGAUUAGGUAUAAGCUGGAAGCUUGCAGGAUAAUGACACN